RNAcentral lists this ribosomal RNA (910 nucleotides) under Salmonella enterica. Its description in RNAcentral is "partial 23S ribosomal RNA". It matches the Rfam family "Bacterial large subunit ribosomal RNA", at positions 2033 to 2925 of the family's 2925-position model. The record is from RNAcentral. Lineage: Bacteria; Pseudomonadati; Pseudomonadota; Gammaproteobacteria; Enterobacterales; Enterobacteriaceae.
UCAGUGAAAUUGAACUCGCUGUGAAGAUGCAGUGUACCCGCGGCAAGACGGAAAGACCCCGUGAACCUUUACUAUAGCUUGACACUGAACAUUGAGCCUUGAUGUGUAGGAUAGGUGGGAGGCUUUGAAGCGUGGACGCCAGUCUGCGUGGAGCCGACCUUGAAAUACCACCCUUUAAUGUUUGAUGUUCUAACGUGGACCCGUAAUCCGGGUUGCGGACAGUGUCUGGUGGGUAGUUUGACUGGGGCGGUCUCCUCCUAAAGAGUAACGGAGGAGCACGAAGGUUGGCUAAUCCUGGUCGGACAUCAGGAGGUUAGUGCAAUGGCAUAAGCCAGCUUGACUGCGAGCGUGACGGCGCGAGCAGGUGCGAAAGCAGGUCAUAGUGAUCCGGUGGUUCUGAAUGGAAGGGCCAUCGCUCAACGGAUAAAAGGUACUCCGGGGAUAACAGGCUGAUACCGCCCAAGAGUUCAUAUCGACGGCGGUGUUUGGCACCUCGAUGUCGGCUCAUCACAUCCUGGGGCUGAAGUAGGUCCCAAGGGUAUGGCUGUUCGCCAUUUAAAGUGGUACGCGAGCUGGGUUUAGAACGUCGUGAGACAGUUCGGUCCCUAUCUGCCGUGGGCGCUGGAGAACUGAGGGGGGCUGCUCCUAGUACGAGAGGACCGGAGUGGACGCAUCACUGGUGUUCGGGUUGUCAUGCCAAUGGCACUGCCCGGUAGCUAAAUGCGGAAGAGAUAAGUGCUGAAAGCAUCUAAGCACGAAACUUGCCCCGAGAUGAGUUCUCCCUGAGACUUAGAGUCUCCUGAAGGAACGUUGAAGACGACGACGUUGAUAGGCCGGGUGUGUAAGCGCAGCGAUGCGUUGAGCUAACCGGUACUAAUGAACCGUGAGGCUUAACCUUACAACGCCGAAG